RNAcentral lists this ribosomal RNA (817 nucleotides) under Salmonella enterica subsp. enterica. RNAcentral describes it as "partial 23S ribosomal RNA". It matches the Rfam family "Bacterial large subunit ribosomal RNA", at positions 589 to 1405 of the family's 2925-position model. RNAcentral also lists the same sequence under 1 other name. The record is from RNAcentral. Lineage: Bacteria; Pseudomonadati; Pseudomonadota; Gammaproteobacteria; Enterobacterales; Enterobacteriaceae.
UGGGGUGACUGCGUACCUUUUGUAUAAUGGGUCAGCGACUUAUAUUCUGUAGCAAGGUUAACCGUAUAGGGGAGCCGGAGGGAAACCGAGUCUUAACCGGGCGUUAAGUUGCAGGGUAUAGACCCGAAACCCGGUGAUCUAGCCAUGGGCAGGUUGAAGGUUGGGUAACACUAACUGGAGGACCGAACCGACUAAUGUUGAAAAAUUAGCGGAUGACCUGUGGCUGGGGGUGAAAGGCCAAUCAAACCGGGAGAUAGCUGGUUCUCCCCGAAAGCUAUUUAGGUAGCGCCUCGUGAACUCAUCUCCGGGGGUAGAGCACUGUUUCGGCUAGGGGGCCAUCCCGGCUUACCAACCCGAUGCAAACUGCGAAUACCGGAGAAUGUUAUCACGGGAGACACACGGCGGGUGCUAACGUCCGUCGUGAAGAGGGAAACAACCCAGACCGCCAGCUAAGGUCCCAAAGUCAUGGUUAAGUGGGAAACGAUGUGGGAAGGCCCAGACAGCCAGGAUGUUGGCUUAGAAGCAGCCAUCAUUUAAAGAAAGCGUAAUAGCUCACUGGUCGAGUCGGCCUGCGCGGAAGAUGUAACGGGGCUAAACCAUGCACCGAAGCUGCGGCAGCGACAUUUAGGUGUUGUUGGGUAGGGGAGCGUUCUGUAAGCCUGUGAAGGUGGCCUGUGAGGGUUGCUGGAGGUAUCAGAAGUGCGAAUGCUGACAUAAGUAACGAUAAAGCGGGUGAAAAGCCCGCUCGCCGGAAGACCAAGGGUUCCUGUCCAACGUUAAUCGGGGCAGGGUGAGUCGACCCCUAAGGCGAGGCCGA